RNAcentral lists this unclassified non-coding RNA (224 nucleotides) under Hevea brasiliensis (rubber tree). Lineage: Eukaryota; Viridiplantae; Streptophyta; Magnoliopsida; Malpighiales; Euphorbiaceae. The record is from RNAcentral.
CUAAUAAUUGCUUCAUCAAGGUCAAAUGGUCUGUUUGUUGCAGCAAGAACAAGGAUGCGUUCACCCUGCUUCGUCAUAAGGCCAUCCCAAUGCGUCAUGAACUCAUUCUUUAUCUUUCGCAUGGCUUCAUGCUCCCCAACUCUAGUCCGCUGCCCAAGCAUGCUAUCUCCCUCAUCCACAAAAAUAAUAGUUGGGGAAACUUUGGCUGCCAGUGUAAAUAAAGC